Long non-coding RNA from Alosa sapidissima (American shad), 3486 nucleotides. RefSeq lists it as uncharacterized. NCBI's taxonomy places the organism in Eukaryota, Metazoa, Chordata, Actinopteri, Clupeiformes, Clupeidae. The record is from RefSeq and is a predicted model, not a curated record. The transcript is spliced from 2 exons.
GAAAGAAGGAAAAGAAGAAGAAGAGGAAGAAAACCCAGCCCGGCUCCCUUUUUUUCCCCAUUUCAACUUUUUUGCCCCUGCAGAACUGUGCCGUGCUGCCAAGCUGUCGUGUGUGUGGACGCGCUUCUCUUCUCUUCUCUUCAGCUUCCCGGCCGACCCCCCACCCUCUUUUUUCCUGCUCCUUUUUUUUGGCCUCCUUUUGUGCUUGCCCCCCCCCCUCCUAUUUAUUUGAUUUCUUGACAGAUCAGCCUUUCUCAAGCGUGGCCCCCCAGUCUGACGAGCGCAGAACUUCACGGGACUUACUUCUCCACUCGAAUACGAAGAGGAUGGGUGGAGACGUGGAGCCGAGGAGCAGGGCAGGUGGAACAGCGCUGCCUUCAACGGGAGCAACUUCACACACCACACCUGUGUUGCUUUGAUCCAAGCAUGGAUGCAGCAUUCUCCAUAGUGCCUUAGCACAACAAUUUUGCACACUACACACACAAGGACUACACAAAGAAUGCAACCUCCCCCCCCCCCCCCCCCCACACACACACACACACCUGUCUUUGAUGUCAAACCUACAGCUGAUAGCUUACUAUUAUGGUGCUAUGAGUGUCUCAUGUGAGUUAACUGCCAGGAUCCUCGUAUGUAUUGGAGUAUAGAUGCUUGUGCAUGGAUGGAUGGGUUGCUGUUUCACAGAGAGGGAAGGCUGCAACACACACACACACACACCUCUGGGGCCCCCGGGGAACAUUCAACGCUGUCGGUGAGUUUGGAGCUCUGAGAGAAACCAUCGACCGUUGACUGUACCCCGCAGGCUGCUCUUACCGCCAACUGAGACCAACACGGACCACACGGGCAGGUGAUAUAUUCACAGGCUAGUCCAUGGAGGCACACCGAUAAGGCACACAGUGACACACACACACAGAUUUCUUUCCUCAGCCCCUGGAGCGCUCGUCCAACCUGGACUCCCUCUCCUCACAUCGUAAUGGCUGCGAUAAACAUUCAUUGCUGUCGGUGGGUUUGCCAUGAGAAUAACUCACUGAUCAAUGAAUGCAAACUGCGGUACAAACACCUCAAGGAGCUAAACGGCCACCUCAGGAUGGGUGACAGACUGACCAAUCCUCACCUCCUCCCUCUCCACCGCCCACCCCCGCCAGACGGGCGCGGGGCGGACAGACGGGAGAUCUGGUUGGCGGGCAUCUGCCGCCCAGACUAGCCGAGCACACAGUGUUCUCGUGGGCAGGAGCAGCGGAGGGGAACCAUAUCAGCAAAUGGCAGCCCAGACCCAGAGUGGUCCACGAGAGCAGAGCGGAGGAUCCCGUUUGGGUGACAUACUGUUGCACCGAGCCAACAUAGUCUCUCUCUCUCUCUCACUUCCUGUUUCUCUCUCUCUAUAUGACUAUCGUCUAGGCAACACACUACUACCAACUUGAAUUUCAGCACAAUCCCUUCUUUCUCCCUCUCUGUCUGUCUUUCCCUCCCCCCCUCCCUCUCUCUCGCUCUCUGUUCACACAAACAAAAAAAAGGAGCUGAAAGUUAAACUUGCUGACAUGCCAUUAAUGUCUGUGACAAGAAAUAAAGUGGAAUUUAACCAUUUUCAGUUGAGUGUUCGACGAGUUGCCACUGUAAAAAAAAAAAAAAAGAAAAAAAAGUUUAGAAAAGAUUCAGACUGCUCCACUCCAUGGGACAAAUCUGUGUGCUAGUUAGUUUUCCGUGUUUUUAAAUUGAGUUAAACGCACGGGGCCAUGUGGAGCUAAUCUGCGGGUAAUUGCUGCCUCUAAAUUGCAACCACGCUGGGAAUUUUAACACAUCAAAAUGUUCCAGUCAGCUCCGACCGCAUGCGUGCACAUUUGCUCCAGCUCUCGCUGCCUCCUUGUUCUUCCCCUUUUCUUUCCAGCCCCAAAUGGAAAGCGGUGGACGCUCUUUCUUUCUGACCAUAAAACUCACACAGAUGCACACACACACACACACACACACACACACACACCCAGUUUGUUUCAUGUCUGGCUUUUGUGUGACUUACCGGAAAAGGUCAGCGAUGUUUGUUUAAUUUGGCCCAUAAAAAUUACCCUAUUUUAACCUGCUGGAAGGAGCUUCUAAUGCAAUAGUCUCGUCUGUACAUUCUGACAGUCAGUCAUUCUUUUCCAAAUGACCCAAUCUGUGUCUCUCUCACUGAGCAGUUCAAAUCAGGGACAUGCGGCACACCGAGCACGGUCUUCACAGCGGACUACUCUUCAUUCACACGUCGACAACUUGCACAUGCAAGAUAUGACUUUUCUUAGAUCAUUAAAAUAUCCAAUUUCUAAACAAAAGAUCAACAGAAAAAAAAAUUUGUGACUGUUUUGGUCUGUUUUUUUUUAUUUGUAUUUCAUCAAGUGUUAGUGCAUAGCUGUAAACAAACUAGAUCACCAGCCAGAAUGCACUGCGAGUCUGAACCUAAAAAGUUCAACAGCAACACCAAGCCUAGCAGUUCAGGUCAUAAUAUAUUUCUUCACAUGAGAUGAAUGUGGAUAAUAAGGUAAAUGAGUAAAAGGCAGUAACUCCUGAAAAGUGCUUAAAAAAUGGCUAAGAAGAGUUAAAUCCUUAUCUUUAUCUUUUUUGCAGCCAUUCUAACUUUCCCCAUAGCCCUCCCAUUCUGUCUGUUAUCUCUGAAGAAUUGCACUGAUUUGCAUUAAAGUAAAAAAAAAAAAAAGUCCUGUUUGAAGUAUACUGUAUGUUGGCUGAUCUAGUUUUUGGGCAUGCGUUUUAAUGUAGCCUAUGGCUGGCAGUCUCUAAGGGACGGAACAGAGGAGUGAGAUGAGAGAAAGAUAAAACAACAGUGCUACCUCUGUCUUGGUCAAUCUGUCAGUCAGCCUGGACCCUCCCACAGAUUACAUCUGAGGACUUUCUGGCUUCACCAGAGCCCACUGUGUCCCUCCACAGAAAGGCACGUCGGGACAGCGACUAAAGAUAGCACUCAUGCUUAAUUGUCCAAAUUGGGAUCUGCAUUGAAAGUCUAACUAAGGGGAAAAAGGAAGGUUUAUGUUUUUGAUUCGUCUGGGUUGUGGAUGGGAAAGUUCAGGUCAUCUGGAAAGGCAGGGCAGAAAAGAAAGAAAUGGCAAGGAGCCUUACUCUCCUGUUAACGUGCGUCUGUGACAUAAAUUACUCAGCACACCGCAUACACACAAUGGAGGGCUUGUUGGCCCAGUUGACAUCACUGCACAGUCUUCAGAGCCAGGACCUAACUCAGGUGGUCGAGCGGAAUUCAAACAGGACCAGACACAAGAGCAACAAUAUCAGGGUGCAGGUCCAAAAUUCCCUCGGCCAUUUAAAAAAGAAAAAAUAUUGCAUUCCAACUAGCAGUAGCAAAAAGUGGCUUUUGUUUCUUUCCACACAUGACACCAACAUUAAUAUUCUGGGAGCUGAUUUUGGUUCCCUCUCAGUCUCAUCAAGGCCCAUCAGUAGCUGUCUAGCCGUAAAUGUAAUCAGCAAAUUGCCCAAAAAAAGGGGGGGGGGGGGGGG